Long non-coding RNA from Hippocampus comes (tiger tail seahorse), 375 nucleotides. RefSeq lists it as uncharacterized. The record is from RefSeq and is a predicted model, not a curated record. NCBI's taxonomy places the organism in Eukaryota, Metazoa, Chordata, Actinopteri, Syngnathiformes, Syngnathidae. The transcript is spliced from 2 exons.
GCCACGUCGUCAUCUUGACCAGCAACAAAACACAUGAAAGGUUUUGAAGGAUUCACUUAGAUUUCAGUGUUGGCAUGCGGGUUGGAAAGACUGAAGUGGAGCAAAUAGUACAUUCAAUUUUUGAUGACACCAAGAAACAGUGGCAGAGCCAAGGGGCUGUGAGCAUGUUAAUGAGCCGUAAAGUGACAUUACCACUGUCAGCCUUGUUUUCAUCACCUGCUUCUUCUUUUCCUGGAAAGGAGAGAAAAUGUUCACCAUUUGAACUUGAGAACACCACGCACAUAGAAUGAAAAAACACACUAAAGAUGAAAACAUUUUGUAUUGAUAAAUGAUUCAGAUUGAAUAUUGAACCUUGAAAUAAAUCAUGAACCUCCA